GGGGCUAGUUAUGGUUUCUAUUGGGAGAUUAGUCCGGUUUAUAUGCUUUCAGGGAGAUGUCUUUGGCUUCCUUAAUCAAGCAAAGACAAAAAUAAAUGCUAAAAAUAGAAUAGCAAAAGGUCUAGCUGCAUUUAAAAACAGCUUUGCUCCUGUAACUGUUGUUGCUUAAUAACACUACAAAACCGUAGCCUUUGCUUUGCAAUGAUGUCAGAUGACUGCUACACUAUUUUUAAAAAAUUUAUCUUUGGUUUUUUAAAAAUUACUUACAAAGAUUUGUAAAAUAAUUUUUUGAGAUUUUCUUUCAUUUUACAAUACUAGAAAAAUUUUAUUUUGAAAUAUUUUUUGUUUAUUUUUUAUUUUUCAAAAUUAUAUAAAAUAAACUAUGAAAGUAGAAGUAUAUUCUUGGCCUCUCAAGACAUGGGUUCAAAUCCCAUUAGUUCCACCA
RNAcentral lists this transfer-messenger RNA (445 nucleotides) under Patescibacteria group. RNAcentral's name for it is "GN02-872 sp003260325 X1 Standard tmRNA". It matches the Rfam family "transfer-messenger RNA". From Rfam's summary of the family: Bacterial tmRNA, also known as 10Sa RNA or SsrA, is named for its dual tRNA and mRNA-like properties. Its role is to liberate the mRNA from a stalled ribosome. RNAcentral also lists the same sequence under 1 other name. The record is from RNAcentral.